RNAcentral lists this ribosomal RNA (407 nucleotides) under uncultured bacterium. RNAcentral describes it as "partial 16S ribosomal RNA". It matches the Rfam family "Bacterial small subunit ribosomal RNA", at positions 28 to 526 of the family's 1533-position model. The record is from RNAcentral.
GACGAACGCUGGCGGCGUGCCUAAUACAUGCAAGUAGAACGCAGUUGCGAAAGGGUGAGUAACGCGUAGGUACCUGCCUCAUAGCGGGGGAGAACUAUUGGACACGAGAGCUAAAAACCCAUAUUGUGAGAUGGACAUGCGUUGUUUUAGCUAGUUGGUGAGGUAAAGGCGCACCAAGGCGACGAUACAUAGCCGACCUGAGAGGGUGAUCGGCCACCAUGGGACUGAGACACGGCCCAGACUCCUACGGGAGGCAGCAGUAGGGAAUCUUCGGCAAUGGACGGAAGUCUGACCGAGCAACGCCGCGUGAGUGAAGAAGGUUUUCGGAUCGUAAAGCUCUGUUGUUAGAGAAGCGGUACCUAACCAGAAAGGGACGGCUAACUACGUGCCAGCCGCCGCGGUAAUUC